GUUGAGCGGAACUACAGAAACAUCCCUGCUGGUAAAAUCAGCUGUUGAGUGUCGAUCCAGAUUCAGAGGAACAUUACAAAUGGGAUUUCAUUCAAGAUCUCCAUGUGGGAUUCCUCAGGGAGCCUUUCAAUGUCUGAAUGAGAGCAGGAAGCCGCUGCCGUAUUCUCUAAAAGGGAUCGGACAUGAUGUUCUCCAUCAGCAGCAGGCCUAUAGCAGUUUACCUAAGGGCUGGUCCAGGCCCACAGAGGCUAGUACAGUGUCUUCUGAUGACAUUCCCUCCAAGAACAGAACCUUACGGACCAGAAUCCUGUUGGCCAAUUCGCACGUUUCCACCAAUCGUUCUAGUCUCU
Molecule: long non-coding RNA, 350 nt
Organism: Gasterosteus aculeatus aculeatus (three-spined stickleback)
Lineage: Eukaryota; Metazoa; Chordata; Actinopteri; Perciformes; Gasterosteidae
Source: Ensembl